Non-coding RNA from Arvicola amphibius (Eurasian water vole), 408 nucleotides. Lineage: Eukaryota; Metazoa; Chordata; Mammalia; Rodentia; Cricetidae. The record is from the annotation of a RefSeq genome assembly.
GGGAACAAUAUGGAGUCACAGACCCAAAUCCUAAUGUCCCUGCUGUUCUGGGUGUCUGGUGCCUGUGCAGAAAUCACAAUGACCCAGUCUCCAUCUUCCUUGGCUGUGUCAGCAGGAGAGAAGAUCACUAUCAGCUGCAGGGCCAGUCAGAGUCUUUACAACAGUAACUGGAAAACGAACUACUUGAACUGGUACCAGCAAAAACCAGGGCAGUCUCCUAAACUACUGAUCUACUAUGCAUCCACUCGGGGAACUGGAGUCCCUGAUCGCUUCAUAGGCAGUGGAUCUGGGACAGAUUUCGCUCUCACCAUCAACAGUGUCCAGGCUGAAGACCUGGCAGAUUAUUACUGCCAGCAUGCAUAUAGCACUUCUCCCACUUUGGGUUCUGGUACUCAAAUUGAGGUUUGA